GUGGGGAAUAUUGGGCAAUGGGGGAAACCCUGACCCAGCAACGCCGCGUGAAGGAAGAAGGUUUUCGGAUCGUAAACUUCUAUCCUUGGUGAAGAUAAUGACGGUAGCCAAGAAGGAAGCCCCGGCUAACUACGUGCCAGCAGCCGCGGUAAUACGUAGGGGGCAAGCGUUGUCCGGAAUGAUUGGGCGUAAAGGGCGCGUAGGCGGCCUGGUAAGUCCGGAGUGAAAGUCCUGCUUUUAAGGUGGGAAUUGCUUUGGAUACUGUCGGGCUUGAGUGCAGGAGAGGUAAGCGGAAUUCCCGGUGUAGCGGUGAAAUGCGUAGAGAUCGGGAGGAACACCAGUGGCGAAGGCGGCUUACUGGACUGUAACUGACGCUGAGGCGCGAAAGUGUGGGGAGCAAACAGGAUUAGAUACCCGUGUAGUCC
This 425-nucleotide ribosomal RNA is filed under the name uncultured bacterium. RNAcentral describes it as "partial 16S ribosomal RNA". It matches the Rfam family "Bacterial small subunit ribosomal RNA", at positions 354 to 796 of the family's 1533-position model. The record is from RNAcentral.